AUUGAACGCUGGCGGCAUGCCUUACACAUGCAAGUCGAACGGCAGCACGGGAGCAAUCCUGGUGGCGAGUGGCGAACGGGUGAGUAAAGUAUCGGAACGUGCCCAGUCGGGGGGGAUAACGUAGCGAAAGUUACGCUAAUACCGCAUACGAUCUAUGGAUGAAAGCGGGGGAGCGCAAGACCUCGCGCGAUUGGAGCGGCCGAUAUCAGAUGAGGUAGUUGGUGGGGUAAAGGCCCACCAAGCCGACGAUCUGUAGCUGGUCUGAGAGGACGACCAGCCACACGGGGACUGAGACACGGCCCAGACUCCUACGGGAGGCAGCAGUGGGGAAUUUUGGACAAUGGGCGAAAGCCUGAUCCAGCCAUGCCGCGUGCAGGAUGAAGGCCUUCGGGUUGUAAACUGCUUUUGUACGGAACGAAAAGGACUGCCCUAAUACGGUGGUCCCAUGACGGUACCGUAAGAAUAAGCACCGGCUAACUACGUGCCAGCCGCCGCAGUAA
Molecule: ribosomal RNA, 500 nt
Filed under: uncultured bacterium
Lineage: Bacteria
Description: partial 16S ribosomal RNA
Rfam family: Bacterial small subunit ribosomal RNA
Source: RNAcentral